RNAcentral lists this ribosomal RNA (497 nucleotides) under uncultured bacterium. RNAcentral describes it as "partial 16S ribosomal RNA". It matches the Rfam family "Bacterial small subunit ribosomal RNA", at positions 28 to 507 of the family's 1533-position model. The record is from RNAcentral.
GACGAACGCUGGCGGCGUGCCUAAUACAUGCAAGUUGAGCGAUGAAGAUUGGUGCUUGCUCCAUUUUGAAGAGCAGCGAACGGGUUAGUAACGCGUGGUUAAUCUUCCUUUGAGCGUGGGACAACAUCUUUAAACGACUGCUAUUACCGCAUAACAACUUUAACCAUAAGUUUUAAGUUUGAAAGAUGCAAUUGCAUCACUCAACGCUGAUCCCGCGUUGUAUUAGUUAGUUGGUGAGGUAACGGCGCACCAAGGCUAUGAUACAUAGCCGAACUGAUAGGGUGGUAGGCCAUUGUGGGAGUGAGACACGGACCAAACUCCUAGGGAAGGGAGCAGUAGGGAAUCUUAGGCAAUGGAAGUAAGACGGGCCAAGCAAAGCCGAGUGGGGGAAGAAGGUUAUCGGAACGUGAAACUCUGUUGGAAGGGAAGAACGAUAGUGAGAGUGGAAAGCUCAUAAAGUGAAGGUAACUACCCAGAAAGAGACGGAUAACUACGUG